Molecule: microRNA precursor, 165 nt
Filed under: Oryza glumipatula
Lineage: Eukaryota; Viridiplantae; Streptophyta; Magnoliopsida; Poales; Poaceae
Description: MIR812 microRNA precursor family
Rfam family: MIR812 microRNA precursor family
Source: Rfam by way of RNAcentral
CGUCCGUGUAACCAUAAGUUUUUACAUCUAAUUUUAAUCGACUGUCUUAUUUAAAAUAUUUUUAUAAUUAGUACUUUAUACUUAAUUUAUAUUUUUAAUUUUUUUUAAAAAAUUCAAAUAAGACGGAAUCAAAGUUGUUUACGGAAAAUCAUGUCUGCACUUAAA